Molecule: transfer RNA, 74 nt
Filed under: Marmota monax (woodchuck)
Lineage: Eukaryota; Metazoa; Chordata; Mammalia; Rodentia; Sciuridae
Description: tRNA.Ala
Source: RNAcentral
UUGGGGAUAUAACUCAGUUGGUAGAGUGCUUGCCUUGCAUGCAUAAGGCCCUGGGUUCAAUCUCCAACACCAAA